Molecule: ribosomal RNA, 966 nt
Filed under: uncultured bacterium
Lineage: Bacteria
Description: bacterial SSU rRNA
Rfam family: Bacterial small subunit ribosomal RNA
Source: RNAcentral
GUUUGAUCAUGGCUCAGGAUGAACGCUGGCGGCGUGCCCAACACAUGCAAGUCGAGCGGAUUUAGUUUAGUGCUUGCACUAGACUAAAUUAGCGGCGGACGGGUGAGGAACACGUGGAUAACCUGCCUUUUACAAAGGAAUAACUGUGAGAAACCACUGCUAAAACCUUAUAAGCAUACGCUAUCGCAUGAUAGAGUGUGAAAAUAUUUAUAGGUAAAAGAGGGGUCCGCGUCUGAUUAGCUAGUUGGUGAGGUAAUGGCCCACCAAGGCGACGAUCAGUAGCCGGCCUGAGAGGGUGAACGGCCACAUUGGGACUGAGACACGGCCCAAACUCCUACGGGAGGCAGCAGUGGGGAAUAUUGCGCAAUGGAGGAAACUCUGACGCAGCAACGCCGCGUGAAGGAUGAAGGCUUUCGGGUUGUAAACUUCUAUCGAUGGGGAAGAAAAAAAUGACGGUACCCAAGUAAGAAGCACCGGCUAACUACGUGCCAGCAGCCGCGGUAAUACGUAGGGUGCAAGCGUUAUCCGGAAUUACUGGGCGUAAAGGGCGAGUAGGCGGCAGGUUAAGUCAUAUGUGAAAAUCCAAAGCUCAACUUUGGACUUGCAUAAGAAACUGGCCAGCUGGAGUGCAGGAGGGGUAAGUGGAAUUCCUAGUGUAGCGGUGAAAUGCGUAGAGAUUAGGAAGAACACCAGUGGCGAAGGCGACUUACUGGACUGUAACUGACGCUGAGUCACGAAAGCGUGGGGAGCGAACAGGAUUAGAUACCCUGGUAGUCCACGCUGUAAACGAUGAAUGCUAGGUGUCGGGGCGAGAGUUUCGGUGCCGGAGUUAACACAAUAAGCAUUCCGCCUGGGGAGUACGGUCGCAAGACUGAAACUCAAAGGAAUUGACGGGGGCCCGCACAAGCGGUGGAGUAUGUGGUUUAAUUCGACGCAACGCGAAGAACCUUACCAAGACUUGACAUG